RNAcentral lists this ribosomal RNA (253 nucleotides) under uncultured bacterium. RNAcentral describes it as "partial 16S ribosomal RNA". It matches the Rfam family "Bacterial small subunit ribosomal RNA", at positions 524 to 776 of the family's 1533-position model. The record is from RNAcentral.
GACGUAGGGCGCGAGCGUUGUCCGGAUUUAUUGGGCGUAAAGAGCUCGUAGGCGGCUUGUCGCGUCGGCUGUGAAAACCCGCGGCUCAACUGUGGGCGGGCAGCUGAUACGGGCAGGCUGGAGUUCGGUAGGGGAGACUGGAAUUCCUGGUGUAGCGGUGAAAUGCGCAGAUAUCAGGAGGAACACCGGUGGCGAAGGCGGCAUCCUGGACCAAUACUGACGCUGAGACGCGAAAGCGUGGGGAGCGAACAGG